CACUGUCCCUAUCUACUAUCUAGCGAAACCACAGCCAAGGGAACGGGCUUGGAAAAAUCAGCGGGGAAAGAAGACCCUGUUGAGCUUGACUCUAGUUUGACUUUGUGAAGAGACAUGGGAGGUGUAGCAUAAGUGGGAGGCUCACGCCGAAAGUGAAAUACCACUACUCCCAUCGUUUCUUUACUUACUCGAUGAGGCGGAGUGCGAUUCUUAUCAGAAUCACCCUACUUGCGCAAAGUGUUGGAGUGUCUAUUAGACACUCUGCACGAUCCGAUUCGAGGACAUUGUCAGGCGGGGAGUUUGACUGGGGCGGUACAUCUGUCAAAUACUAACGCAGGUGUCCUAAGGUUGGCUCCGUCAGGACAGAAACCUGGCUUAGAGCAAAAGGGCAAAUGCCAGCUUGAUCUACGACGUUCAGUAAACGUAUAGACGGCGAAAGCCUGGCCUAUCGAUCCUUUUGACUUCUCGAGUUUAGAUCAAGAGGUGU
This 487-nucleotide ribosomal RNA is filed under the name Pseudocandona sp. 1 IK-2017. RNAcentral's name for it is "LSU rRNA". It matches the Rfam family "Eukaryotic large subunit ribosomal RNA", at positions 2337 to 2806 of the family's 3401-position model. The record is from RNAcentral. Lineage: Eukaryota; Metazoa; Arthropoda; Ostracoda; Podocopida; Candonidae.